GACGAACGCUGGCGGCGUGCUUAACACAUGCAAGUCGAACGGAAAGGCCCUGCUUUUGUGGGGUGCUCGAGUGGCGAACGGGUGAGUAACACGUGAGUAACCUGCCCUUGACUUUGGGAUAACUUCAGGAAACUGGGGCUAAUACCGGAUAGGAGCUCCUGCUGCAUGGUGGGGGUUGGAAAGUUUCGGCGGUUGGGGAUGGACUCGCGGCUUAUCAGCUUGUUGGUGGGGUAGUGGCUUACCAAGGCUUUGACGGGUAGCCGGCCUGAGAGGGUGACCGGCCACAUUGGGACUGGGAUACGGCCCAGACUCCAACGGGAGGCAGCAGUGGGGAAUAUUGCACAAUGGGCGGAAGCCUGAUGCAGCAACGCCGCGUGCGGGAUGACGGCCUUCGGGUUGUAAACCGCUUUCGCCUGUGACGAAGCGUGAGUGACGGUAAUGGGUAAAGAAGCACCGGCUAACUACGUG
This 468-nucleotide ribosomal RNA is filed under the name uncultured bacterium. RNAcentral's name for it is "partial 16S ribosomal RNA". It matches the Rfam family "Bacterial small subunit ribosomal RNA", at positions 28 to 507 of the family's 1533-position model. The record is from RNAcentral.